CCUACGGGUGGCUGCAGUGGGGAAUAUUGCACAAUGGGGGAAACCCUGAUGCAGCGACGCCGCGUGAAGGAAGAAGUAUUUCGGUAUGUAAACUUCUAUCAGCAGGGAAGAAAAUGACGGUACCUGACUAAGAAGCCCCGGCUAACUACGUGCCAGCAGCCGCGGUAAUACGUAGGGGGCAAGCGUUAUCCGGAUUUACUGGGUGUAAAGGGAGCGUAGGCGGCGAUGCAAGUCAGAAGUGAAAGCCCGUGGCUCAACUCCGGGACUGCUUUUGAAACUGUAUGGCUAGAUUGCAGGAGAGGCAAGUGGAAUUCCGGGUGUAGCGGUGAAAUGCGUAGAUAUUAGGAGGAACACCAGUGGCGAAGGCGGGUUGCUGGACUGUAAAUGACGCUGAGGCUCGAAAGCGUGGGGAGCAAACAGGAUUAGAUACCCUAGUAGUC
RNAcentral lists this ribosomal RNA (440 nucleotides) under uncultured bacterium. RNAcentral describes it as "partial 16S ribosomal RNA". It matches the Rfam family "Bacterial small subunit ribosomal RNA", at positions 338 to 795 of the family's 1533-position model. The record is from RNAcentral.